This 676-nucleotide ribosomal RNA is filed under the name uncultured Serratia sp. Its description in RNAcentral is "bacterial SSU rRNA". It matches the Rfam family "Bacterial small subunit ribosomal RNA", at positions 839 to 1515 of the family's 1533-position model. The record is from RNAcentral. Lineage: Bacteria; Pseudomonadati; Pseudomonadota; Gammaproteobacteria; Enterobacterales; Yersiniaceae.
GUGGCUUCCGGAGCUAACGCGUUAAAUCGACCGCCUGGGGAGUACGGCCGCAAGGUUAAAACUCAAAUGAAUUGACGGGGGCCCGCACAAGCGGUGGAGCAUGUGGUUUAAUUCGAUGCAACGCGAAGAACCUUACCUACUCUUGACAUCCAGAGAACUUUCCAGAGAUGGAUUGGUGCCUUCGGGAACUCUGAGACAGGUGCUGCAUGGCUGUCGUCAGCUCGUGUUGUGAAAUGUUGGGCUAAGUCCCGCAACGAGCGCAACCCUUAUCCUUUGUUGCCAGCGGUUCGGCCGGGAACUCAAAGGAGACUGCCAGUGAUAAACUGGAGGAAGGUGGGGAUGACGUCAAGUCAUCAUGGCCCUUACGAGUAGGGCUACACACGUGCUACAAUGGCAUAUACAAAGAGAAGCGACCUCGCGAGAGCAAGCGGACCUCAUAAAGUAUGUCGUAGUCCGGAUUGGAGUCUGCAACUCGACUCCAUGAAGUCGGAAUCGCUAGUAAUCGUAGAUCAGAAUGCUACGGUGAAUACGUUCCCGGGCCUUGUACACACCGCCCGUCACACCAUGGGAGUGGGUUGCAAAAGAAGUAGGUAGCUUAACCUUCGGGAGGGCGCUUACCACUUUGUGAUUCAUGACUGGGGUGAAGUCGUAACAAGGUAACCAAGGGCGAAUUCUG